RNAcentral lists this ribosomal RNA (273 nucleotides) under uncultured bacterium. Its description in RNAcentral is "partial 16S ribosomal RNA". It matches the Rfam family "Bacterial small subunit ribosomal RNA", at positions 332 to 604 of the family's 1533-position model. The record is from RNAcentral.
CGAACCUACGGGGCGCAGCAGUGAGGAAUAUUGGUCAAUGGGCGCGAGCCUGAACCAGCCAAGUAGCGUGAAGGACGACUGCCCUACGGGUUGUAAACUUCUUUUAUAAAGGAAUAAAGUGAGGCACGUGUGCCUUUUUGUAUGUACUUUAUGAAUAAGGAUCGGCUAACUCCGUGCCAGCAGCCGCGGUAAUACGGAGGAUCCGCGCGUUAUACGGAUUUAUUGGGUUUAAAGGGAGCGUAGAUGGUUUGUUAAGUCAGUUGUGAAAGUUUG